Varanus komodoensis (Komodo dragon) is the source of this 2949-nucleotide RNA transcript. It is a transcript of the gene named zinc finger protein 512B, with no coding region annotated. The transcript has 17 exons. The record is from RefSeq and is a predicted model, not a curated record. NCBI's taxonomy places the organism in Eukaryota, Metazoa, Chordata, Lepidosauria, Squamata, Varanidae.
AUGGCAGAAUCAUAUUCCUACAGGGUAGGAAAGAAGGUUGCCGGCUCCAGCAAGACUAGUGCGGACAAGGACAGCGGCAAGACAGAGAUGAAGAUAAACCCAGCGUAUGAGGAAUCAAGCUUGGGAAAUGCAACCAAUGACAGAGCAGAAGGCAAAAGGAAAGGGAGACCAAAGGCGGACAGCCAGGCGCUGAAGGAUAUUCCUCCACCCUUGAUGAACCAGUGGAAAGAUGAGUUCAAGGCCCAUUCCAGGGUGAAGUGCCCCAAUUCAGGCUGUUGGCUGGAAUUCCCCAGCAUCUACGGCCUCAAAUACCACUACCAGCGCUGCCAAGGGGUAAGGAAAACUGAGGAUGCCGUCGUGGAGAAACGGACCUUCCCCUGUCCGUACUGUGAAGCCACUUUCACUUCCAAAACCCAGCUGGAAAAGCACCACCUGUGGAACCAUCUCGAGAGGACCCUGCCAGCCGUGGCCCCGCCGGCGGAAAACAGAGUGCAGAAAUCCGCUGGCAAAAGCGGGGGCAAGAAAAGACCUGCCGAGGGUUCCGCUUCGCCCGGCAGCCACCCCAAGCAGGCGAAGGUGGAGAAGGCUGUCACCCUGCAACGCCCGGAGAACGGCGAGUACACGGCGGUCAGCCAGGGCGGCAAAGAGUUCCAAACAACGGCAGCCAGAGGCGGAGGGGUGGCAGCUACCCCGGCCGCCCAGCCGUCGGGCAGCAGAGGCUCCAGGCAGCAGCCCCACCGGCAGGUCGUUGUGCAGGAGGAAGACCCUGAGCGGAUGAAGCACAGAAGGAAACAGAAAACUCCUAAGAAGUUUACUGGGGAGCAGCCGUCCAUCUCGGGAACAUUUGGACUGAAAGGGCUGGUGAAAGCAGAGGACAAGGCGAAAGCACACCGAGCAAAGAAGCUGGAGGCAGCCCUGAGCAGCAACGACGAGCAGAAAAAGAAGCCGCUGGGAUCCAGCGCGAAGAAGGAGGCGGCGCCGACAGCUGCGGCAGCUUCCUCGACAACAGCGAGCCCAGAAGAACUGUGGCAGCGUACAAUCAAUGAGAAAGGAGAGGUUGCCUGCCCAACCUGCAGCAUGAUCACCAGGAAGACGAUUCUUGGUCUCAAGAAGCACAUGGAAGUCUGCCAAAAAUUGCAGGAUGCCUUGAAAUGCCAGCACUGCAAGAAGCAAUUCAAGUCCAAAGCUGGGCUGAAUUAUCACACCAUGGCUGAACAUGUCAACAAGCCUGUACCUGUGGAAACCACGAUCCCGCUGACCGAACACGAAGAGCGCGAGAGGCUGAGAAGGGUGCUGAAGCAGAUGGGGAAGCUAAAAUGCCCCAACGAGGGGUGUGUGGCUACAUUCUCCAGCCUCAUGGGGUACCAGUACCACCAGAAGCGGUGUGGGAAGCAGCCGUCCGAGGUGGAGAAACCAGUCUUCAGCUGCCCACACUGUGGGAAGACUUAUAAGUCGAAAGCUGGGCAUGACUACCACUUGCGCUCAGAGCAUCCCCCUAUGCCUCCUCAGAAGCAGGAGACGAAACCUGAAGCCAGCCUGGUGGAGGAUUUUGAAAGGACCCCGAGCGGCAGGAUCCGCCGCACGUCUGCCCAGGUGGCUGUCUUCCACUUGCAGGAAAUCGCCGAGGAUGAGCUGGCCAAAGACUGGACCAAGCGGAGGAUGAAGGACGACCUGGUCCCUGAGACGAAGCGGCUAAAUUACACCCGUCCUGGUCUUCCGAAGCUGAAUCCUACACUCCUGGAGUCCUGGAAAAACGAAGUGAAGGAGAAAGGCCACAUCAACUGUCCCAACCACUGCUGCGCAGCCAUCUAUUCCAGCGUGUCUGGUUUGAAAGCCCACCUUGCAAACUGCAACAAGGGAGAACAUUCCGUGGGGAAAUACCGUUGUCUUCUGUGUCAGAAGGAGUUUAGCUCAGAAAGUGGAGUCAAAUACCACAUCAUUAAGACUCACUCAGAGAACUGGUUCCGAACCUCUGCAGAGGCCAUCCGGAAGAAAAAGAGCAGGGAACAGUCCUCUCCCAGCCACACAGAGGAGAAGAAGAAAAGCACAGAUGGGAAAAAACGGGGGCGCAAGCCGAAGGAAAGACUUCCAGAGGCUUUCGCCAAAAGCAAAGAGAGCACGGCUGGAAAGACUAACCAUAAAAAAAUGACAGGGUCGUGGCAGGCCAUGGACUGCAAUCCGGAUGGGCGCGAGAAAGGUAGCAAGACCUCUCCGAGCAAGAAGGGGGCAGCCCAUAAAAUGCUGGAGAAAUAAGUGGCUGAGAAGAAAGGAAAACUCUUUAAUGAUCAGUUUACAGCCCAGGGCAAUGGGGCGGGGGGGCGACUCCCCGCUCGCCAAGCCCCAGCCCACCUCUGCUCACCCCUUUUUUAAACAAGAAGCCACUUCAAAGCAUAAUCAUGGACAUUUGUUUUCGCGUUGGAAAGAAGAAAACAAGCGUGUCGGCCGAGACGAAUCUUCUGUUGAGAACCUGCACAGACUGUACAUACACCUGUGCUUGUGCGCUCCCGUGCGUUGCACGCUCCAUCCAUGGACCGGCCGCUAACGAGACGGUUGCUGGUGGGGACCUUCAUUCUACUUUUCCUCUUUCAUCUGUCCUUGAAACUGACACCAGUUGACCGAGGAAGAGCAAACGGGUGUUGCUUGAGCAAAGGGAGAGCAAAGUGCAAUAGGAACCCAGGUAGUUCAGAAGGUGGGAUGGUGCUGCCACCUUUCUCCACCACUUGUGUAUCUGCUGGAGGUGCUAGAAAACCGUGCCAAAUCUUUUCAUUCUGAGAUGAUGGCAGAGGAGCAGAAAUUCUUCUUUCCUGCACUGAGCCGAACGGAUCUGUGGCAUAUCCCCAGCGCCUCCAACUCGUUCCUCUCCAGCCUUUCUAAUGUGUGCAGAACUAAUCGCCAUUUUAAUAGGCCUCGCCUAGGAGAAACUCUGGAUGGAAACUGUGCCCCCCCCCU